GCAUUUUGUUUAUUUUAUUAAAUGUAACUCCUGCCCUAUGUUUUCAAUAAAUGGCCGCAGUAGCCUAACUGUGUUAAGGUAGCAUAAUUAUUUGUCACUUUAUUAAUGACUUGUUUGAAAGGAAUAAUGAGAGUAUCUAUGUUUUUUCUAUAUAAAAAGAAAUUUUGAACUUUGUAAAAACACAAAGAAAAAAAAAUAAGACGAGAAGACCCUGUCAAGGUUUACAAUAUUUUGUUGAAUGGGAAAUUCAAAAAUUUGAUGUAUUUUUUUGGAGCUUAAAAGAAUUAAAGGAAACACUUACUGCAGGGAUAACAGGGUUAUUUUUUUUGGAGUUUUUAUCGAAAAAAAUGUUUGCCACCUCGAUGUUGAAUCAAAAUUUCUUUUUGGUGUAGAGGCUAAAAUAAAAUGUCUGUUCGACAUUAAAAAUUUUACA
Molecule: ribosomal RNA, 433 nt
Filed under: Geocentrophora sphyrocephala
Lineage: Eukaryota; Metazoa; Platyhelminthes; Prorhynchida; Prorhynchidae
Description: partial 16S ribosomal RNA
Rfam family: Bacterial large subunit ribosomal RNA
Source: RNAcentral